Molecule: ribosomal RNA, 367 nt
Filed under: uncultured bacterium
Lineage: Bacteria
Description: bacterial SSU rRNA
Rfam family: Bacterial small subunit ribosomal RNA
Source: RNAcentral
GAUUAACGCUGGCGGCGUGCCUAACACAUGCAAGUCGAACGAGGUAGCAAUACCUAGUGGCAGACGGGUGAGUAACGCGUGGUCAACCUACCGUUGAGUGGGGGAUAACUAGCCGAAAGGUUAGCUAAUACCGCAUACGUCUCCAAGCGGCAUCGCUUGGCGAUAAAAGGAGCAAUCCGCUCGAUGACGGGACCGCGUCCCAUUAGCUAGAUGGUGGGGUAACGGCCUACCAUGGCUCCGAUGGGUAGCUGGUUUGAGAGAGCGACCAGCCACACUGGGACUGAGAAACGGCCCAGACUCCUACGGGAGGCAGCAGUGAGGAAUUUUCCGCAAUGGGCGAAAGCCUGACGGAGCGACGCCGCGGUGU